This 1299-nucleotide long non-coding RNA is filed under the name Pogona vitticeps (central bearded dragon). RNAcentral describes it as "lncRNA (ENSPVIG00000002233.1)". The record is from RNAcentral. Lineage: Eukaryota; Metazoa; Chordata; Lepidosauria; Squamata; Agamidae.
CUGGAAUUAUUACUCCAGAAGGUUAUUUUAAUGUAACUCCUUAGGCCUCAGGCCUUAUUAAAGGCAAAUUUGCACAUCAUGUACACAGUAAAUCCCUCAAGGAUAAUUGUAUUUUUAAAUAUAUCUGUUGAAUUUAAGUGGAUGUUAGAUAACAUAAAUGUAUUUUGAUGGGCUCUUUAAUCAUUGAUAAACUGACGUUUCUCUUCCUCCCCGUUUUCCUCUCUUUUUCUCCCUUUCUAACUCUAAGAAAGAGAGAGAUCGAGUCCUGGCUUUAUUAGAGAUUGACCAUUCUUUAAAUUUUGAGAAGGGGGUUUCACAGACUUUUUAAAUAAAUGGAAUUUUAAUUGGCUUCAUUGUUAAGAUAUGGACUCAGGGACAGGACUUGUAUUUUUAAAAAGAAUUUAAGGAGUCCUUUUGGGUCUUUUUAAGGAGAAAGGUGUGGUAAACAUAUUUUAAAUAAACUGAUUAAAUUGUGCCAAAAAGAAAAGCUGAUUUUGUUUCUAAAGGAAUUCAGGGGAAAACUGAGUAAUGCUAUGCAAAAGUGAGGCAUAGGGUUCAUCCACACGAGGUAUGUAGCUUGGAUAGAAGAGUGCUCUCUUUCCCCCAUAGAUCUGGCACCACUCAUGGCAAGCUUCUGUACUUGUUUUAAUUUUUUCUUGAAUGUAAUCUGGAUUCUUCUAAUUUGAAUUUCUGCAUUCUAAAACAUCUCCUGUCUUCCUCCUCUCACCUCUCUCUCUCUCCUUCCCUCUCACACACCUCUCCAUUCUCUGCCCCAUCUCCACCUCUUGUCUCUUUCCUUCCCACAGAGGGAGGCAGAGACAUAUGGACAGUGGGAAUCAUCGUGAUGACUAAUCUUCAGCCGUUUCAAAUCUUGCAUACAAGAUGCAUUUUGGCCUCAUUUUCUUUUGAAUUUUAGAACACACGUUGAAGUCACUUUGAAGUCAAAGUCACAGAGCCUGCCUGAACAUGAUAUUAUUGAUUUCCAUACAGCCUGCUUUUUCCGCAAUGCAGAUGUGCAUUUUCUUCAAACAUGUUUAGGAGGAGCCUUUGAUCUGGCUUAUUCACCACAGCAAUAUUAAAAACCAUCUAUAUACCGGUAUCUGGACUUAGAUUUGUGGAAAAGAUAGGCAUCCUGUUCAAAAGGAACAUGAACAAAGAUACAGUACUCCCGAAAGCUCUUUUCAGACUCUCUCAGCCUAAACAAUUUUCUGGAAUGAGGAAGUCAAAGGUCACCAACUGUCAAAACACAACAAAAAUGACACAACACUGAGGGUUAUUGGCAGAGUGGAGAAUUUCAAG